AAAUUGACAAUGAUGGGAAGAAACCAGACUAAAAAUGCUGAGAAUACCCAAAAUCAGAAUGCCUCUCCCUCUACGGGGGAUCACAGUUCUUCAUCAGCACAAAGCCUGAUGGAGAAAGACUGUGUUCCAUUAACAGAAGCA
Sapajus apella (tufted capuchin) is the source of this 141-nucleotide long non-coding RNA. RefSeq lists it as uncharacterized. The transcript is spliced from 3 exons. NCBI's taxonomy places the organism in Eukaryota, Metazoa, Chordata, Mammalia, Primates, Cebidae. The record is from RefSeq and is a predicted model, not a curated record.